GUUUUCCAACCUGAGGAUCCUUCCUGAUCAGAUAGUUCACGGGUCUGAGAAGGGCCGGAGGGGGCGAGACUCCCAGAAAGCAGAGCUUGAAACUGUCCUGUACCUGGACUGCACCCACCUGGGGUGGAGGGGCCACUGCGCUGAGAUCUCUUCAAGGUCUCUGCUCAGCUGUGAACACCAUCAGGCGAGGAUGGGAAAGAGACAGUCGUGCUGACGCAGCUGCUCCUGACGACCCACCAUCACAGGCUGCCAGCCAGCCACGCUCCACGGAGGGUGAGGGCACGCAGCCCCGGCCCGUCCCCACGGCUGUGGUCCUCCCGCACACUCCCUUCUGGCAGUCACGGGGGAAGUGGCUCUGUGUGCUUUCUUCCAGCCCAGGACCCCUCGUCCCACCUCCCCACCGUCCAGCAAUGAAAGAGUGUGCCACUGGCCAGCGGGGCCCGCCCUCUAGCUCCAGCGCUGCCGUGGGGCCUCAGCCAGUCCUAAGACUUCAUAGCAUCACUCUUCUCUGCUCAGUAAACCUGGCGCUUUGGGAAGAUCUCUGAUGGAGCCAGAUGGCUCAUGCUCUGCUUUCCGUGGGGAAAGGACCAAUCCCCUGCUGAACACUAAUCUCCUGAAUUGUCCUCUGAAUAAAAGUGUCUGUGUCAUCUGAGUCGGUGAAUGCUGUGUGCUGUACCCUCCUAUGGGAGCUUCACAUUUUUACAUAGUA
Molecule: long non-coding RNA, 709 nt
Filed under: Equus caballus (horse)
Lineage: Eukaryota; Metazoa; Chordata; Mammalia; Perissodactyla; Equidae
Description: lncRNA (ENSECAG00000044024.1)
Source: RNAcentral